UUGUUCAAUAAGGGGUGUUUACUUUAGAGGAUUAAAUUUGAUAGAUAAAAAUAGUAAGCUUAAUAUGCUGUUUACUUUGAUGGAUUAGAAUUUUGAGAUAUCCCAAGGUCCUUAAUUAUUUUUAUCAUUUAAACUAAUUUUACUUGAUUUUUAUUCCAUAAAAAGGAUAUGGUUGAAGAUAUUCUAAUCUUGAGGAUAAAAAUACUCACUUCUGUAUGUAAUCAAUUAUGUAAAGUAAACGUCUCCCAAAUUAAUGAAAAUUAAAGAAGAGAUAAUUAACGCUCUUUACCCAAAAAAAAAAAAAAAAAAAGAUAAUUCACGCGUUUGGAAAUAUGAUGGAAAUAAGGUGGAAUUUUGAGACAUGACUAAACGGUUGACGACAAAAAACAUCGCAAAUAUAGGGUUUGAAUUAGGAGGUUUGUUUGAUUGAGAGUGGUAUUG
Molecule: long non-coding RNA, 441 nt
Filed under: Salvia miltiorrhiza (redroot sage)
Lineage: Eukaryota; Viridiplantae; Streptophyta; Magnoliopsida; Lamiales; Lamiaceae
Description: long non-coding RNA (SMIL_LNC010724)
Source: RNAcentral